RNAcentral lists this small RNA (145 nucleotides) under Papio anubis (olive baboon). Its description in RNAcentral is "Metazoan signal recognition particle RNA (ENSPANG00000041716.1)". Lineage: Eukaryota; Metazoa; Chordata; Mammalia; Primates; Cercopithecidae. The record is from Rfam by way of RNAcentral.
GCUGGGCAUGGUGGCGGGUGCCCGUAAUCCCAGCUACUUGGGAGGCUGAGGCAGGAGAAUUGCUUGAACCCAGGAGGUGGAGGUUGCAGUGAGCUGAGGUCCUUCCUGCCUCCAGCCUGGGUGACAGAGUGAGACUCUGUCUCAA